RNAcentral lists this transfer RNA (72 nucleotides) under Bos taurus (domestic cattle). It matches the Rfam family "tRNA". Rfam says of the family: Transfer RNA (tRNA) molecules are approximately 80 nucleotides in length. Their secondary structure includes four short double-helical elements and three loops (D, anti-codon, and T loops). The record is from Rfam by way of RNAcentral. Lineage: Eukaryota; Metazoa; Chordata; Mammalia; Artiodactyla; Bovidae. RNAcentral also lists the same sequence under 2 other names.
UCCUUGAUAUCUCAGUUAGUAUAGAAUCUGCCUGCAGUGCAGGAGACCAGGGUUCGAUUCCUGGGUCAGGAA